CUUACUUCUGACCUCCAAUCCCUGGGAGAGGGGCUGGAGAUUGAGUUCAAUCACUAAUGGCUGAAGACUGAAUCAAUCACGUCUGUGUAAUGAAGCCACCACUAAACUGCAAAGGGAUAGGGUUUGGAGAACUUUCAGGACCCGGCUAUUAGAAAAGAGGUUCAAUGUGAAUAUACUGACAAUAACAACAAAAAAAGAGAUUAGAGAAUUAAGAAAGAAAAUUCUAGAGGGCUUAAAGAUCACAUCUGGAAGGAUCUGAAAGGCCUCUUGAAGGAAAUAGAAAAAAAAAUUCUGGCUAAUUCCUCUAAUACUUCUGGACCCUCAUUGGCUAGGAAAUCAUGCUGUGUUCCCAUAUCUAUUUUCUGGUUCCGUGGAAGCUUCUUGAGUACAUGUCUAAUUUGGUUGGGUUCCCCCACUCUCGUACAGCUUCUCAUACAGGUAAAUUGAUACAGAAGUA
Molecule: non-coding RNA, 457 nt
Organism: Equus caballus (horse)
Lineage: Eukaryota; Metazoa; Chordata; Mammalia; Perissodactyla; Equidae
Source: RefSeq, a predicted model, not a curated record